AUUGAAUCACUAUCCAAAAUAAGUGUACAAGCCAAGCAUAAACUCAAAUAUAAAUUCAACCUAUACUACUAAUUCAAAGUACAAAGAAAAAGAAAAAGAAAAAUCCAUGUCCAAAUGCUGGCAUCCAUCAGUAAAUGCCAUCAGCGCAGAUCCUCAUCUGAGUCAUCAUCCUCCUCCUCCUGGGCAUCCUCAAAGUCUUCAUCCUCCUGGUCAUCGUCCUGUCCUCCUGAGGUCCCAGCUGCUCCGGACCCACUACCAUGUGCAUGUCCCUGAGGCCAAGCCAUCACACUACGAAACUCGUCCAUAGUCCACCUGUGCACUGGUGGCUAGUCAUAAAGUCCUAUGUCCUA
Molecule: long non-coding RNA, 350 nt
Filed under: Vigna radiata
Lineage: Eukaryota; Viridiplantae; Streptophyta; Magnoliopsida; Fabales; Fabaceae
Description: long non-coding RNA (VRAD_LNC014263)
Source: RNAcentral